This 847-nucleotide ribosomal RNA is filed under the name Rhizophagus intraradices. RNAcentral's name for it is "eukaryotic LSU rRNA". It matches the Rfam family "Eukaryotic large subunit ribosomal RNA", at positions 1 to 695 of the family's 3401-position model. Lineage: Eukaryota; Fungi; Glomeromycota; Glomeromycetes; Glomerales; Glomeraceae. The record is from RNAcentral.
AUUUGACCUCAAAUCAGGUAGGAGUACCCGCUGAACUUAAGCAUAUCAAUAAGCGGAGGAAAAGAAAAUAACAAUGAUUCCCCUAGUAACUGCGAGUGAAGAGGGACAAGCUCAAAUUUUAAAUCUGUUAGGUUUACCUAACCGAGUUGUAAUUUGAAGAGGCGUUUUCUGUGUUUCUGAUCAGCCCAAGUCCUUUGGGAUAGGGCAUCAUGGAGGGUGAGAAUCCCGUUCGGUUGGUCAGAUUCGCUUUACGAUACGUCAUCUAAGAGUCAAGUUGUUUGGGAUUGCAGCUUAAAAUGGGAGGUAAAUUUUCUCCUAAGGCUAAAUAACGGCGAGAGACCGAUAGCGAACAAGUACCGUGAGGGAAAGAUGAAAAGAACUUUGAAAAGAGAGUUAAACAGUACGUGAAAUUGUUGAAAGGGAAACGAUUGAAGCCAGUCGUACCUUCGGGUAAUCAGCCUUUCGGGUGCGAUUCUGUGGAGCGUGAGGAGUUAAACGCCUUCAUGCCUGCAUAUUCGUGCACUUUGGGUGUACUUGCCCGUGUGGUAGGUUAACAUCAAUUUCGGAUAUCAUAAAAUGGCUGGAGGAAUGUAGCUUCGGUCUCGUACUGAAGUGUUAUAGCCUCUGGUAGAUGUGAUGACCGGGAUUGAGGAUUGCAACGAAUACCUUUUGGGCUACCCGCCUGAUCUCUGAAAGUUGCUCUGGUGCCGAAAGCUUGCUUACGGUUAUCAAAGUUGACGUUCAAAAGGUUAGAACGGGUUAAAUUCGUUAAGGAUGUUGACGUAAUGGCUUUAAACGACCCGUCUUGAAACACGGACCAAGGAGUCUAACAUAUAUGCGAGUGUUU